GGCCUAACACAUGCAAGUCGAGCGGAAACGACACUAACAAUCCUUCGGGUGCGUUAAUGGGCGUCGAGCGGCGGACGGGUGAGUAAUGCCUAGGAAAUUGCCUUGAUGUGGGGGAUAACCAUUGGAAACGAUGGCUAAUACCGCAUAAUGCCUACGGGCCAAAGAGGGGGACCUUCGGGCCUCUCGCGUCAAGAUAUGCCUAGGUGGGAUUAGCUAGUUGGUGAGGUAAUGGCUCACCAAGGCGACGAUCCCUAGCUGGUCUGAGAGGAUGAUCAGCCACACUGGAACUGAGACACGGUCCAGACUCCUACGGGAGGCAGCAGUGGGGAAUAUUGCACAAUGGGCGAAAGCCUGAUGCAGCCAUGCCGCGUGUAUGAAGAAGGCCUUCGGGUUGUAAAGUACUUUCAGUUGUGAGGAAGGGGGUAACGUUAAUAGCUCUAUCUCUUGACGUUAGCAACAGAAGAAGCACCGGCUAACUCCGUGCCAGCAGCCGCGGUAAUACGGAGGGUGCGAGCGUUAAUCGGAAUUACUGGGCGUAAAGCGCAUGCAAGUGGUUCAUUAAGUCAGAUGUGAAAGCCCGGGGCUCAACCUCGGAACUGCAUUUGAAACUGGUGAACUAGAGUACUGUAGAGGGGGGUAGAAUUUCAG
RNAcentral lists this ribosomal RNA (648 nucleotides) under Vibrio sp. UCH-04. RNAcentral's name for it is "bacterial SSU rRNA". It matches the Rfam family "Bacterial small subunit ribosomal RNA", at positions 45 to 672 of the family's 1533-position model. Lineage: Bacteria; Pseudomonadati; Pseudomonadota; Gammaproteobacteria; Vibrionales; Vibrionaceae. The record is from RNAcentral.